RNAcentral lists this unclassified non-coding RNA (338 nucleotides) under uncultured fungus. RNAcentral describes it as "partial contains 5.8S ribosomal RNA, internal transcribed spacer 2, and large subunit ribosomal RNA". The record is from RNAcentral. Lineage: Eukaryota; Fungi.
AACGCAUAUGGCACCCGAGACCUAGGUCGAGGGUAUGUCUGCCUCAGAGUCGACGUUUAAACAUCUACCCUAUCCCCUCAUCGGGGCAGGGGUUGGAACUGGCGUUCCCACCGCAUGAUUACGGUGGGUUGGCCGAAGGAUAGAGACGGAGGACCGGCGGUGCGAAAGCAUCCCGCCGGGGAAACCACGAUUUGGUGGGAGGGAAGGCCCGUCCAUGUGACACGGCCGUAUCCGCAUCUCUUUGUCGUGCGAGUACCCGGGAUAAAAAAUCCUCUCGCUGUAAUCAAAAAAAUUAUAAUUUCGACCUGAGAUCAGGCAAGAUCACCCGCUGAACUUAA